GGCCCACAUUGACUGGCUGGGCCUCAAGUCCCAGGACAGAAGGCCAGCCAGAAGGGGGCGCUUGGCUGUUGGACAGAGCCUCACAAAGGGCUCCGGCAGAAGACGGGUUGUCUCUCAGAGGAUCACAUUGUCCUUCCUGACUCUUCACAAAGCAGCGAGAGAAGAAUACAGCAAGGACCCCAGUAACUCUACCAAGGUGGAAGC
Molecule: long non-coding RNA, 204 nt
Filed under: Fukomys damarensis (Damara mole-rat)
Lineage: Eukaryota; Metazoa; Chordata; Mammalia; Rodentia; Bathyergidae
Description: lncRNA (ENSFDAG00000030858.1)
Source: RNAcentral